Entelurus aequoreus (snake pipefish) is the source of this 5232-nucleotide long non-coding RNA. RefSeq lists it as uncharacterized. The record is from RefSeq and is a predicted model, not a curated record. Lineage: Eukaryota; Metazoa; Chordata; Actinopteri; Syngnathiformes; Syngnathidae. The transcript is spliced from 3 exons.
ACGUCUUCAUCUCAUCUCUUUUUGCACUCCAACUAAUGACUUACUAUGUAGUAGAAUUUCUGACCUUUGACCUAUAUUUCUUGUCUUUUAAGAAUGUCCGCUCAUUUUCAAUUCUCUUCUAUUUUGUGCCAUUGAAUGGACCAGUUGUGGGACAAAGCUUCGGACAAUCCACUACACAAAUUGGCGUCACGAACAGGAUGGUUUAGAAGCUACAGGUCGACAGCCGCUCCCGCUCUCUCUGUCAGGCAGACAGUGUGCUGCACGCGCGCAUAACAAGAAGGAACUUCCUGAUGUUGCCUGACAGCACGACAUCAGCUGACAACUACUGGGGACGCCUCCCAGGAACGAGUGGAAGACGGGGACUGCUCCAACUGUCCUAGCACUGGCUGACUGAGGUGCGUCCGUGUGUCCUGCCACCCAAACCGCCAAAGUGUAUGAUCACCAAUUAGACGACUCAUAAUAGGAGCCUUUUGACUCUUAUAUAUGGUGGGACUCAAGGUAUGGCCGCUCAUGUGAACUAUCCUUACAACAAUUAGAAUGGUAUAAGAUGGACAACUAAUGACCCACAUUGUUCCUUUGCUCUCUGUCCUGCCUACGAAACCAAAAAUUUAGGUCAAAUGAUAAAACAGGGCGUAGCUGCCGCUGAUUGAACCGAUACGCAAAUACCACAUUUUCAAUUAUUUCGGUUGUCUGUUAAAAACAUAGCUAUUGGUUGCAAUUUGGACAUUCCUGCUGUAGGCUACAAGGAGCUAGCAGCUAUACAACAGCUGAGCUAAAAUAACAAAUUUAAGCAUAUCAAAAAAUUGUAGUUGCUUAUUACAUACACAAAGUCGCUUUGAGACAGAAGUCUGUAGAAAGUAUUCAGUAACAAACGUGUCCGCAUUAUUAAACUUUCUACCACAGGAAAUAUACUGAACAAAUACAGCAGUUACUGUCAGACUCUAAUCCGGAUUACCUUGUCUAUCAGAGACAUGGUUAAAACCCACAACACCUUUCGUUCUAAUUAAUGUCCCGGGGGACAAGAUUACAGAAAAGACAGAUCGAGUGACAAAGGGGGGAGGAAUUAUGAUUUAUGAAAGAGAAAACAUUAAAAGUAGAUCAAUUUGAGUAUGUUGAAAUUAAAAUUACAUUUUCCUCAGAAAUGUAUUUCAAGGUAAUUGUAGUAUACCGACCGACCACAGCUAAAGACAUUUUUCUUGAUUCAUUUUCAGACAUCCUCAAACAGCAUAGUAUGAAAGAAGUAACGUCAUGGGGGACGUUAAUCUGGACUGGUUAAAUAAAACACGUAGAAAGAAACUUAAGGAUAUUAUAAACGGCUUCUACAAGAUACAAAUGAUAAGCAGCCCUACUAGAAUUACAAUUGGAUGACAAAAAUCAAAGAGAACAUCUGUAAAUACACGAAUACAAAACCAGAAAGAAGAGUGCUAAAAUAAAAAUACCAUUGGAUUCUAAUAAAGACAUGAGGACUCAGCUCUCAUAAGAACAAUUAUAACAGGUCUAAAUACAGAUCGUAUGAUUUAAAAGUUUGGAGGAACAAAGUUACAAUGUUUAUGCGGAAGUCUAAGGCUGACUUUCACUUAGAAUUAAUCAAAGUUGCAAAAGGGAACAUUAGAAAGUAUGGAAAACCAGAUACAAACUUACGGAAAGAGAGCAAACAAGAAACAACACUAUAACAUUAAAUAUCAAUGGCGCUACUGUCGCAGACAGUCUGGACAUAAGUAAUAAUUUUAAUGAACAUUUCAUCCAGUCAGUACAAACCCUGAAUAAAAAGUCCCUCAAAAUCAGUGCAAAUAAUUGUCAUUUAUUCAGGAUGGACUAAUUUUAGAAUUAACAAAUGAAACAAAGUUAAACAAAAUCUUCCCUGCAUUACCAGACUCACGAUUUAGAUAUAUAUAUAUGGGUUGGACACUAUCUUCCUAAAAACAUAUAAGGAUUGUAUUAUUACUCGUAUAACAACAAUUGAUAAAUAAAUUAAUAACGGAAAACACUUUCCCUACCACGCCGAGAAACUGCAACUAUAAUUAAAUCCAUAAAGCAGGAAAUAAAGAAGACCAGAACAUGUACAGACCAAUUAGCCUUCUCCAUGUUAUAACAAUAGGAAUAGAAAAUGUGAAAUUAAAAAGUGGCUUUGGAGCAAUCAAGGCUGCUCACACGGUCAAUAAGAGGGGCAUUGUGUUGACACAUCAACUUAAUGUGUAGUAUAUUUAUCCAUGAGAGCAUUUUUGUUGUAAAUUGUGAGGUAUGGCUGUUAAAAUCUUGGUUGUUGUUAUGAAUGAUCACAGAUGUGAACAAGAGCAUGUAUUGUCUUUGUGUGAUGAUGUAAAUAAGGUGUGGUUGUAUUGUAUAUUAAGAAUGUGUCCAUGAAGGGGCAUUUUAGGACUUCUCUUAAUCUGAUUACAUGCUACAGUAUGAUUAUUUUUUGAUUAAUUAUUGAUUAUUAUGAAUGUAUAUAUUUAUUAUGAUUAAUUAGUGUCAUAAUUCCAUUGCUUGAUUUGUGGAUCCCUUUAAUUUAGGUAGCCAGGGACUACAGAUGGAAAGUAGCUAUUUAGAUAUAAUCUGUUACAGAACAUAUCUGUUUCUGAACUUAAUGUUUCUGUGCAUUGUUCUAUCAUAGAUAGACUAAAUUAAAUACAACUAUUUAGUGAAUUAUUGAGGCCACAAUAAUUCACUAGGUGUUGUAAAAUGUCAAAGUACUAUUGCAAAAGCGAACAGUGACCUCAAACAUGACCUGUCCUCCGCCUCUGUUCUUGUUGCGCUUGACUAUCAGCUGUCUUUUCUUUUUCUUGGAUGUUUCUGAAACUAUUAAUACUACUACUACUAUUACUAUUACUAUUACUACGACUAACACUGUCCCUGUGAGAGGGACAGAGGGGGGAGGUGAGUUUGGAUUGGGUCAAGUUUGAGCGUGUUGAGGUUUUAUUUAAUCGAUAUGAUCAAUCCGGUACAAGGAUAAAGGAACGUAAUGAUUUAGAUUGACAAUUGCAGUGGUUGGCGAAAGCAACCCCAACCUCAAAGGAGGGUGCCAAUUCAGUAAUUAAAUGUUUUGUGAAUUAUCUAAUAUCCCGACAUGGUUUCCCCAAAAAGAUUAGGUCAAACAACGGCACCUAUUUUAAGAAAACUGGUUAUCAUCUUCAGUCACAAGAUCAGCACUUCUCAGGACCAGCAGCUUCCUAGGAAGGCGGAAAGACCAUGAGACCAAAAUGGUAAGUUUGCAAAAUGUAGAAUUUGUGUGCCAGUUCCUCUGUGCAGAUUUGAGGAUGAAAGCAGCCACUCCAGAUUCCCUUGCACUCGCUAAGAGGGGCACGGUCAAAGCCGAUCCAGGACCAACACCCGAUACCUGACUGUAAGGAACCGAGAGGAGAGACAACACCUUGCCAGCGAUGACGAGAACAACUAAGGUUGCCAGCCAAUGUGUCCACCGGGACUCCAGCAGCUGUGGAAAGAAGUGUCGGGAGUGCCGAAGAGGCGAGGAGGCCUAGAAGCAAGCCGAGGGCCUGGACCAAAGCCCCACGCCCCAUACUCUUCCCCAAAGCCCCCACAGCUCCAACUUUUUCUCAGCUUUUCCCCAAUUUCGGCCAGCACGGACAUGCCAUUGCACAGUCUGCCCAAUGGACUGAACCACACCCCAAGAACAGACAGAGACAGACUAUUUGAGUGGAUCUCUUUCUUCACCAAGGCAGCCAAAAGCCCAACGAGGUGUCGGCAGGCCACCAGCCUGAGGCACCACCGAGCCAUCUAUACGAGCACUAAUCGAACAUGGACUCAUACGAAAUUCAGUUGUGUGUUCAAAAUCAAUUGAUAAUUAACAAUAUUGGUAACUACAUCCAUUGCAAAUGCCGGGAAAAAUAUUUUUGCAAAUGUCUUACAGUCAUAAGUCUAUAUACAGUCAUCUAUUUAUGUUCAAUGAUGCUCAUGAUCAAAGUAUUUGUUAUUCCUUUACUAAAUCAAAGGGUAGGCCACUAAUUGUGUUCUGUGAGAUGGUUUUACUGCAGGCUGGUAAGGUACAGGCAAGGCUUUUUUUAUCAGCGAGCAAAAGUUGCAAACUUUAUCGUCGAUGUUCUCUACUAAAUCCUUUCAGCAAAAAUAUGGCAAUAUCGCAAAAUGAUCAAGUAUGACACAUAGAAUGGAUCUGCUAUUCCUGUUUAAAUUAAAACAAAUAAUUUCAGUAGGCCUUUAACUUCGUCACACAUACGGCCCACGGGCCGGAUCAGGCCCUCCAACAGGUUUUAUCCAGCCCGCGGGAUGAGUUUGCUAAGUACAAAAAUGAGUCGAAAUUUUUGAAUGAAAGAAACUGCUGUUUUAAAUGUGUCCUCUAGAUGUCACAAUAGCAAUUCUUUGUAUCUUUGUAGAUGAUGCUACAUUUAAAAAAAAAACAAAAAAACACAUGAUGUUAGCGGACCAGUCGAGGAAAAUGAGCAAACUACAUCAAUAACAUCCUGUAAUUUGAUUUUGGUAUUCUUUUUUUAUCUUGAUAGAUUGAAAAUGAACACCAAUGAGUUGACUUAUGAACAUUAUCACAUCAUUGAUUCUGAAAGUGUAAAACAGGACAAAUAAAGAUAGAAUACUAUAAAACGCAACAUGUAAGUGUAAAAAAAACCCAACAACAUUAUGAUUUGUACAUUUUCAGAAUGUGUUUGUUCUAUUUUUAAACAAAGAAAACAAUCUGAAGUUGUCUUUAUUUUCAAGUUAUCUUGUCGUGAUUUUACCAGUCCGGCACACUUGGGAGUAGAUUUUUCUCUAUGUGGCCCCCAUCUAAAAUUAGUCUGACACCCCUGGCCUAGAUCUUCCUGCGAAAAGCAGAUAUGAGAAAAAAAUCCAACUCUGAAACGGAAUAGAUCCCUAAAGAAUUGUUGAGUAAUAUCAAGGAUUAUCCGUCGGUGGCGUUCCCAGACAUGUGGAACUAUCUUGAGUUCCAGACGUCAUUCUACACCACAAAAUAGAUGAAAGCUUAAAAAGGCAUGGAUGGCUACAAUUUAUUUGUGUGUGGCUGGGUCAAGUCAAAUAGUAUCAAGACUCUCACGGAUAAAUCAUGCGUGUAAGGUUGCAUUUUAUCAUUCAACUUUGCGUCUUGCGAGGACGUCCAUGUAAACAAACAAGGACUAGGACCCCACAUCUGCCACCCGUGACUGCAUAUCCAUUUAACUAACUAACUAUUAUUCAAUCAUCACCAUAUUUCAUGUUUGUCCUGUUUUUGGUUAAUAAAAGUCCACAACCAUAAAAUACUUCCAGUAA